GGAUAACAUGCCCUUAGGAGGGGGAUAAUCUCGAGAAAUUGAGGAUAAUACCCCAUAGGCCAUGAAUGCUGGAAUGCUUUAUGGCCCAAAGCUCCGGCGCCUAAGGAUUGGUCUGCGGCCUAUCAGGUUGUAGUGGGUGUAACGGACCCACUAGCCUAUGACGGGUAUGGGCCUUGAGAGAGGGAGCCCAGAGAUGGACUCUGAGACACGAGUCCAGGCCCUACGGGGCGCAGCAGUCGCGAAACCUUCACACUGGGGGAAACCCUGAUGAGGGAAUUCCUAGUGCCUGCAUUUUUUGUAGGCUUUUAUCUAGUGUAGAUAGCUAGAAGAAUAAGGGCCGGGUAAGACGGGUGCCAGCCGCCGCGGUAAUACCCGCGGCCCAAGUGGUGGUCGAUAUUAUUGAGUCUAAAACGUCCGUAGCCGGUUCAGUAAAUCUUUGGGUAAAUCGGCCAGCUUAACUGACCGAAUUCCGAAGAGACUGCUGAACUUGGGACCGGGAGAGGCCAGAGGUACUUCUGGGGUAGGGGUAAAAUCCUGUAAUCCUAGAAGGACCACCGGUGGCGAAGGCGUCUAGCUAGAACGGAUCCGACGGUGAGGGACGAAGCCCUGGGGCGCAAACGGGAUUAGAUACCCCGGUAGUCCAGGGUGUAAACGCUGCAGGCUUGGUGUUGGGGGUCCUUCGGGGGCGCCCAGUGCCGGAGAGAAGUUGUUAAGCCUGCUACUUGGGGAGUACGUCCGCAAGGAUGAAACU
Molecule: ribosomal RNA, 751 nt
Filed under: uncultured euryarchaeote
Lineage: Archaea; Methanobacteriati; Methanobacteriota
Description: bacterial SSU rRNA
Rfam family: Archaeal small subunit ribosomal RNA
Source: RNAcentral